GCUUUGUGCACGGGAACAUUGUCAUGCUGAUACCGGAAAGGGCUUUCCCCAUACUGUUGCCACAAAGUUGGAAGCACAGAACCGUCUAGAAUGUCAUUGUAUGCUGUAGCGUUAAGAUUUUCCUUCACUGGAACUAAGGGGCCUAGGCCGAACCAUGAAAAACGGCCCCAGACCAUUAUUCCUCCUCCACCAAACUUUACAGUUGGCACUAUGCAUUCGGGCAGGUAGCGUUCUCCUGGCAUCCACCAAACUGAGAUUUGUCCGUCAGACUGAUUUAUCAUUCAAGAGAACACGUUUCCACUGCUCCAUUGCUCCUAGACGUUUCCACUUCACAAUAACAGCACUCCCAGUUGACAAGGGUAGCUUUAGCAGGGCAGAAAUUUGACAAACCGACUUGUUGGAAAAGUGCCAUCCUAUGACCAUGCCACGUUGAAAGUCAUGCAGCUGUUCAGUAAGGCCAUUCUACUACCAAUGUUUGUCUAUGGUUGGGUUGAAUGCAGAAGACACGUUUCGUUUGAAUGCAUUCAGCUGUGCAACUGACUAGGUUUCCCCUUCCCCACUCCUUCUCCAGCUGAGUUCGCACCUGUUUGUGGCGACUGACACCUCUCCUGUACUUCUGGUGUGCUCUGAGGAUGGAACUCAUGUGCUGUGUGCUUCAGUGUGGGUGGACAUGGUGGCUCGGUGGGUGACCAGCUCCCUCACAAUGGUGUGAAGCUCGGUCAGUGGUCUCUCCCCUGCUCUCCAGCCAAUGGCACCUCUGGAGGGCUGUGCUGUUGAUGGGUC
This is a long non-coding RNA of Oncorhynchus tshawytscha (Chinook salmon), 783 nucleotides long. NCBI's taxonomy places the organism in Eukaryota, Metazoa, Chordata, Actinopteri, Salmoniformes, Salmonidae. The record is from Ensembl.